UAAGGUCUGAUUCAAUGAUUCGUACCACCUGCCUUACAGAUCUACUACUAACGCAUCUUUCUUGCGCGGUAAGCUUUUGGGCGGAAUGAAUCACUGAUUCAGACUUGCAAAACAAAAAACCCGCGCAAAUGCGCGGGUUUUUUA
This is a non-coding RNA of Erwinia tracheiphila, 144 nucleotides long. NCBI's taxonomy places the organism in Bacteria, Pseudomonadati, Pseudomonadota, Gammaproteobacteria, Enterobacterales, Erwiniaceae. The record is from Rfam.